Molecule: ribosomal RNA, 890 nt
Filed under: uncultured bacterium
Lineage: Bacteria
Description: bacterial SSU rRNA
Rfam family: Bacterial small subunit ribosomal RNA
Source: RNAcentral
AACGAACGCUGGCGGCGUGCCUAACACAUGCAAGUCGAGCGAGAAAACCCGUAAGGGUGAGUAAAGCGGCGCACGGGUGCGUAACACGUGGGUAAUCUGCCCUGGAGUCCGGAAUAACUCGCCGAAAGGCGUGUUAAUGCCGGAUGAGACCACGGGAGCUUCGGCUCCUGCGGAAAAAGGUGGCUUUUGUAUACAAGCUAUCACUCCAGGAUGAGCCCGCGGCCCAUCAGCUAGUUGGCGGGGUAAUGGCCCACCAAGGCAACGACGGGUAGCUGGUCUGAGAGGACGAUCAGCCACACUGGAACUGAGACAUGGUCCAGACUCCUACGGGAGGCAGCAGUGGGAAUCUUGCGCAAUGGGCGAAAGCCUGACGCAGCAACGCCGCGUGUGUGAUGAAGGUCUUCGGAUCGUAAAGCACUGUCGCGAGGGACGAAUAAGGGCCGGGUGAAUAAUCCGGUCCGAUGACGGUACCUCGAGAGGAAGCACCGGCUAACCCUGUGCCAGCAGCCGCGGUAAUACAGAGGGUGCGAGCGUUGUUCGGAAUUAUUGGGCGUAAAGCGCGUGUAGGCGGCUUUGUAAGUCAGGUGUGAAAGCCCUCGGUUUAACCGAGGAAGUGCGCCUGAAACUACAUGGCUUGAGUACCGGAGAGGGCGGUGGAAUUCCCGGUGUAGAGGUGAAAUUCGUAGAUAUCGGGAGGAACACCAGUGGCGAAGGCGACCGCCUGGACGGCUACUGACGCUGAGACGCGAAAGCGUGGGGAGUAAACAGGAUUAGAUACCCUGGUAGUCCACGCUGUAAACGAUGAGCGCUAGGUGUUGUGGGUGUUGACCCCCGCAGUGCCGCAGCUAACGCAUUAAGCGCUCCGCCUGGGAAGUACGGCCGCAAGGCUA